This is a long non-coding RNA of Gasterosteus aculeatus aculeatus (three-spined stickleback), 857 nucleotides long. The record is from Ensembl. NCBI's taxonomy places the organism in Eukaryota, Metazoa, Chordata, Actinopteri, Perciformes, Gasterosteidae.
UCAGGACGCCAUCAGGACGCCACGUCAACGGGACGCUACGUCAACGGGACGCCAUCAGGACGCCCUCAGGACGCCAUCAGGACGCCACGUCAACGGGACGCCAUCAGGACGCCCUCAGGACGCCAUCAGGACGCCACGUCAACGGGACGCCAUCAGGACGUCACGUCAACCACUCAGGAGCAAAUCCAGAUCUACGCAUGACACACACACACACACACACACACACAGAUGUACUCAGAGACACACUAACAUUUGGUUCUAAAAAAGACACACACUAACAUUUAGAUGUACACAAAGACACAUUAAUAUUUUGAUGUACACACAGACACACUAACAAUUAGUUGUACACACAGACACACUAACAAUUCGAUAUUCACACAGACACACUAACAAUUAGAUGUACACACAUACACACUAACAUUUGGUUCUAAACAAAGACACUUACUAACAUUUAGAUGUACACAAAUACACAUUAAUAUGUAGAUGUACACACAGACACACUAACAUUUAGAUAUGUACACAAAGACACAUUAAUAUUUAGAUGUACACACAGACACACUAACAUCUGGUUCUAAACAAAGACACACACUAAUAUUUAGAUGUACACAAAGACAUAUUAAUAUUUAGAUCUACACACAGACACACUGACAAUUCGAUGUUCACACAGACACACUAACAAUUCGAUGUACACACAUACACACUAACAAUUAGAUGUACACACAGACACACUAACAACAUUAACAUGUUAAUAACUUUUCUUCUUUUCUCUCUUCUCAGGAACUGCUUCAGAUGUUUUCUCAAUGAUUGUGUUAUUAUUAUUGUUAAAUAUGUCGUCUGUUUAUUAUUUUAACAAUGAA